Molecule: ribosomal RNA, 493 nt
Filed under: uncultured Lentisphaera sp.
Lineage: Bacteria; Pseudomonadati; Lentisphaerota; Lentisphaeria; Lentisphaerales; Lentisphaeraceae
Description: bacterial SSU rRNA
Rfam family: Bacterial small subunit ribosomal RNA
Source: RNAcentral
GACGAACGCUGGCGGCAUGGAUUAGGCAUGCAAGUCGAACGAAAAACAGAAGCUUGCUUCUGUGGACGAGUGGCGAAAGGGUGAGUAACGCGUGAGCAACCUGCCCUCAAGUCGGGGAUAACCUCUGGAAACGGGGGCUAAAACCGGAUGUGGAUAUUUUCCCGCAUGGGAUAAUAUUUAAAAAUUUAUUGCUUGAGGAUGGGCUCGCGUACCAUUAGCUAGUUGGUGUGGUAACGGCAUACCAAGGCAACGAUGGUUAGGUGGAUUGAGAGAUCGGUCACCCACACUGGGACUGAGACACUGCCCAGACUCCUACGGGAGGCUGCAGUCGAGAAUCUUCCGCAAUGCGCGAAAGCGUGACGGAGCAAUGCCGCGUGGUGGAUGAAGGCCUUAGGGUUGUAAACACCUGUCACAUGGGACGAAUAUUUGACGGUACCAUGAGAGGAAGCCACGGCUAACUACGUGCCAGCAGCCGCGGUAAUACGUAGGUGGC